RNA transcript from Paramacrobiotus metropolitanus, 2356 nucleotides. RefSeq lists it as uncharacterized. The transcript is spliced from 3 exons. The record is from RefSeq and is a predicted model, not a curated record. NCBI's taxonomy places the organism in Eukaryota, Metazoa, Tardigrada, Eutardigrada, Parachela, Macrobiotidae.
GAUAUACUGCUGAUCAGGAAAUGUUGUUAUAAUAUUAGAUGGAUCGCAGGUUCGUAAUCAAUGGAAGUUUGUCAGGGAUAGUUUUCGUUUGCCGCUGGUACAAAAAUGCUUAUUGAAGGGCGCGACACGAAAGCAAUGCGGUUUGGCUUGUUUAUUUUGCUCUACAUCCAAAGCAGUCUUGCUACGUCGACGUACACGAAGUCCGCUUACCUCUCACAAAACCUGACUUCACGCCCCACCGUGCUUGCUCCAGUCGUGCCAUCGUAUCCCUUUCGAAGAGAUUUAUUCACAGCAGAAGAAUGCAACCUUUACUUCACCCUUGGAUCCAAUGGAUCCAUGUGUUUGUUGAUUCCCGGCUCCCGUUUAUGUGCCAUAACUGAAAAAUCACCCCGCCGAUUCGUGAUGAUGAACACGUACGUGGAGGUCCCGUGUCUCCACCCAACGCGAUCGCAGUUGGUUAAAACCACCCAAAGAGUAAGCCAAAUCAGUCCGCAACGCGCAGUAGUGCUGCAUUUGGAUGAAGAACCCGAUAAAGAGGAUUUGGUUACCGUUGACGUCAUCGAACCCAUUCGCAACCAAACCGUACACAUUGGCAUUAUUGGCUGUUAUUCGCCGAAUACUACAGCCAGAGUGUACGAAGUGGGUACAAUUCCCAACCUCCACAGUUUUGCCCUUUAUAACUGUCACAAUCAAGCGGUCCGCAAGUCUGAUUUCGGUCGAAUGCCACAAAUACGGCAGAUUGUGUUAACUUUAUGUACGAUAAACAUGCUGGAGCCGGGCACCUUCACUGAUUUGCCACAUUUGCGUAGCUUGGUUCUGGAGAGACAACUAAUCCUGGCGUUAUUUAGUGCAAAAAAUCCUAGCGGAGCCAACAGCUCUGUGAAUGCUAACUAUCUCGAUUACCUUUAUAAUCUGCACUGCGACUGCUCAUUUGCCUGGUUGCGCCGUUUCCUAAAUCAGAUGCCGGAUUUGAUCGAGGCAAAAGAUGCCGGUGAAGUGUUCAUAGUGGGCAACUACGUUUCCACAGCUGUAAAGCGAAAUGGUAACGAUACGGAGGUCUUCAGCGUGGAUUGUUCGAAAAAGAUUACCUUGGAGAAUAUCUGGGCAGGCAAUGAGUUUUCGUACAACGCAUCUUGUUCUGAUGUUAUCUGCUAACUCUGUCUUUCCUUUCCUGCCUUGCUUUGGAGAUAAAUGCGCAUAUGGGCUUAUUAUCUAGUGCGUAUGGAUGGAGCGUUCGUUCGAAGAUUUGGCUCACGUGUGCAGAUGUCUCUUCCAGUACGGCGGGAAGGUUUGGGGACGCGCCGCAUAGAGACACUAGCUGUUUGUGCCUAUUUGGCAUCGGUGUACUCUGUGCUGCCUAUCGUCUCUGAAUUCUACCAGCCGACUGAAGAGUGUCUAACGGAAGCAGCUUUGGAGUCCUGGACGCAGUGCGAAACCCCAGCAGAUUUUAUUCGGAAAUUUCAAUACGCGUGGGAUGCGCCAAUGAUCGAGCGGAACAUUUCCAUGUUGAUGUCGAGUGCAGAAGGAAACGAACGUAACAGGGCUGUUUUGCUGGCUGCACUAAGCAAAGACUCGGGAGCCUGGUUAAAUGCGUUGCCUGCUCUUUGUCUGGGAACAUUCCUUAGAGACGACGAUGUCCGAAUCGGUGUCGCAUUGCGGUUUGGAUUGCCAGUGGUAGUGGCGCACAACUGUAUUGCAUGCGGCAAGCAAAUGGAAAUUAACGGACACCACGGGUUAUCCUGCAAUAAGUCAACCAAAGGACGAUGGGCGCGGCACCAAGAAAUGUACAGUAUUACUAAAAAUUGUUGCGAAAGCGCCGGUUUUCUCUGUCAACUAGGACCGACCGGCUUAUCGAGCAAGGACGGAAAAAGACCCGACGGGAUGACUUGGAUUCCAGUCCGCCAAGGGAAACCACUGGUGUGGGAUGUAAACAGUUGGUGCACGGUCGCAGACUCUCAUGUCACCGGCAGCUCGAAGAAAGCUGGAUACGUGGCUCAGCUCGCAGAAAAUGCCAAGCGCCGGACAUAUUCGUUUGUGGAAAAUGGAAACUUUUUUAUCCUUUAGUGAUUGAGACGUUGGGAGUAUUUGGCCCCGCUUUCAGUGAAUUGUUGCAUUUCAUGGGCCGUAAAAUUCGAGACUUAACUGGAGAAACGCGUUCUACUGCUUUCAUUAAGCAACGUUUUAGUCUCGCCGUUGUAAAAGGAAAUGCUACGGCUGUUUUGAGCACGUUACCUUUUAACCCAAGAGAAGAUAGAGAUUUUGGUUGUUUUUUUAAUGUUUAAAUUUUAACUAUCAAGUAGUGUACCGGCGCUUGCAGUUGUUGUUAUCGUGGUGGCUAUUGCCCAUUAAGAGUUCU